AUCUAACACUGGAAAGUGAAAGUAACUGCACCAGUCAAUUUCACGUUUUACUAUAGGCUAUAUACUGCACAUGAAGCUGCAAUCCUUUUUCACAACUGUAUCAGAAUCCGUCUCAGGAGGAGCUAAUUCUAACAAGUGCAAGAGGAAAAUCUUUACACUGCGAUGAAUGACAUCCCUUCCUACUCAAGUAUAUUCUCCAUCAACUCCUCCCAUUCAUGAAUGGAGCAUUUGUCUGUACCAUCUACUCUAUAUGUAGGUGGUUCCUUUAUGUCUGAUUGCAUGAUAAACUUAAUUUGACUGAGA
Long non-coding RNA from Oncorhynchus gorbuscha (pink salmon), 303 nucleotides. RefSeq lists it as uncharacterized. The transcript has 3 exons. NCBI's taxonomy places the organism in Eukaryota, Metazoa, Chordata, Actinopteri, Salmoniformes, Salmonidae. The record is from RefSeq and is a predicted model, not a curated record.